RNAcentral lists this ribosomal RNA (460 nucleotides) under uncultured bacterium. RNAcentral describes it as "partial 16S ribosomal RNA". It matches the Rfam family "Bacterial small subunit ribosomal RNA", at positions 338 to 795 of the family's 1533-position model. The record is from RNAcentral.
CCUACGGGAGGCAGCAGUGAGGAAUAUUGGUCAAUGGACGCAAGUCUGAACCAGCCAAGCCGCGUGCAGGAAGACGGCUCUAUGAGUUGUAAACUGCUUUUGUACAAGGGUAAACGCAGAUACGCGUAUCUGUCUGAAAGUAUCGUACGAAUAAGGAUCGGCUAACUCCGUGCCAGCAGCCGCGGUAAUACGGAGGAUUCAAGCAUUAUCCGGAUUUAUUGGGUUGAAAGGGGGCGUAGGCGGUAGGUUAAGUUAGAGGUGAAAUCCCGAGGCUCAACUUCGGAAUUGCCUUUGAUACUGUCCGGCUAGAGAGUAGUUGCGGUAGGCGGAAUGUGUGGUGUAGCGGUGAAAUGCUUAGAGAUCAUACAGAACCCCGAUUGCGAAGGCAGCUUACCAAGCUACUUCUGACAUUGAGGCACGAAAGCGUGGGGAGCAAACAGGAUUAGAUACCCGAGUAGUC